RNAcentral lists this ribosomal RNA (252 nucleotides) under uncultured bacterium. Its description in RNAcentral is "partial 16S ribosomal RNA". It matches the Rfam family "Bacterial small subunit ribosomal RNA", at positions 524 to 776 of the family's 1533-position model. The record is from RNAcentral.
UACGGAGGAUGCGAGCGUUAUCCGGAUUUAUUGGGUUUAAAGGGUGCGCAGGCGGCACGGCAAGCCGGCGGUCAAAUCGCGGGGCUCAACCCCGCCCAGCCGUCGGAACUGCCGGGCUAGAGUGGGCGAGAAGUGCGCGGAAUGCGUGGUGUAGCGGUGAAAUGCGUAGAUAUCACGCAGAACUCCGAUUGCGAAGGCAGCGCACCGGAGCCCUACUGACGCUCAGGCACGAAAGCGUGGGUAUCGAACAGG